GUGGAUUAGAUACCCUGGUCGUCCUAGCUGUAAACGAUGUAGACUUGGCGUUGGAGGGGUUAAAUCCUUCAGUGCCGAAGCAAACGCGAUAAGUCUACCGCCUGGGGACUACGGCCGCAAGGUUAAAACUCAAAGGAAUUGACGGGGCCCCGCACAAGCAGCGGAGCGUGUGGUUUAAUUCGAUGAUACACGAAGAACCUUACCAGGGUUUGACAUGCUAGUGGUAGGGAUCCGAAAGGUGACCGACCCCUCGGGGAGCUAGCACAGGUGCUGCACGGCCGUCGUCAGCU
This 290-nucleotide ribosomal RNA is filed under the name uncultured bacterium. Its description in RNAcentral is "partial 16S ribosomal RNA". It matches the Rfam family "Bacterial small subunit ribosomal RNA", at positions 773 to 1060 of the family's 1533-position model. The record is from RNAcentral.